CCUAAUGUAUGUAACGUUGCU
RNAcentral lists this non-coding RNA (21 nucleotides) under Caenorhabditis elegans. The record is from RNAcentral. Lineage: Eukaryota; Metazoa; Nematoda; Chromadorea; Rhabditida; Rhabditidae.